GACGAGCCGUGCGAACGUUGUUCGGAAUCACUGGGCUUAAAGGGCGCGUAGGCGGCAGUUCAAGUCCGGGGUGAAAUCCUCCAGCUCAACUGGAGAAGUGCCUUGGAUACUGGAUUGCUCGAGGGAGGUAGGGGGUCGAGGGAACUUCUGGUGGAGCGGUGAAAUGCGUUGAUAUCAGGAAGGAACGCCGGUGGCCGAAAGCGCUC
This 206-nucleotide ribosomal RNA is filed under the name uncultured bacterium. RNAcentral describes it as "partial 16S ribosomal RNA". It matches the Rfam family "Bacterial small subunit ribosomal RNA", at positions 524 to 726 of the family's 1533-position model. The record is from RNAcentral.